Molecule: ribosomal RNA, 1470 nt
Filed under: metagenome
Description: bacterial SSU rRNA
Rfam family: Bacterial small subunit ribosomal RNA
Source: RNAcentral
AGAGUUUGAUCAUGGCUCAGGACGAACGCUGGCGGCACGCUUAACACAUGCAAGUCGAACGAGAGAAGAGGAGCUUGCUUUUCUGAUCUAGUGGCGGACGGGUGAGUAACACGUGAGCAAUCUGCCUUUCAGAGGGGGAUACCGAUUGGAAACGAUCGUUAAUACCGCAUAACAUAAUUGAACCGCAUGAUUUGAUUAUCAAAGAUUUAUCGCUGAAAGAUGAGCUCGCGUCUGAUUAGCUAGUUGGUAAGGUAACGGCUUACCAAGGCGACGAUCAGUAGCCGGACUGAGAGGUUGAUCGGCCACAUUGGGACUGAGACACGGCCCAGACUCCUACGGGAGGCAGCAGUGGGGAAUAUUGCACAAUGGAGGAAACUCUGAUGCAGCGAUGCCGCGUGAGGGAAGAAGGUUUUAGGAUUGUAAACCUCUGUCUUCAGGGACGAAAAAAGACGGUACCUGAGGAGGAAGCUCCGGCUAACUACGUGCCAGCAGCCGCGGUAAUACGUAGGGAGCGAGCGUUGUCCGGAAUUACUGGGUGUAAAGGGAGCGUAGGCGGGAUCGCAAGUCAGAUGUGAAAACUAUGGGCUUAACCCAUAAACUGCAUUUGAAACUGUGGUUCUUGAGUGAAGUAGAGGUAAGCGGAAUUCCUAGUGUAGCGGUGAAAUGCGUAGAUAUUAGGAGGAACAUCAGUGGCGAAGGCGGCUUACUGGGCUUUAACUGACGCUGAGGCUCGAAAGCGUGGGGAGCAAACAGGAUUAGAUACCCUGGUAGUCCACGCCGUAAACGAUGAUUACUAGGUGUGGGGGGACUGACCCCUUCCGUGCCGUAGCAAACGCAAUAAGUAAUCCACCUGGGGAGUACGACCGCAAGGUUGAAACUCAAAGGAAUUGACGGGGGCCCGCACAAGCAGUGGAGUAUGUGGAUUAAUUCGAAGCAACGCGAAGAACCUUACCAGGUCUUGACAUCGUAUGCAUAGCUCAGAGAUGAGUGAAAUCUCUUCGGAGACAUAUAGACAGGUGGUGCAUGGUUGUCGUCAGCUCGUGUCGUGAGAUGUUGGGUUAAGUCCCGCAACGAGCGCAACCCUUACUGUUAGUUGCUACGCAAGAGCACUCUAGCAGGACUGCCGUUGACAAAACGGAGGAAGGUGGGGAUGACGUCAAAUCAUCAUGCCCCUUAUGACCUGGGCCUCACACGUACUACAAUGGCUGUCAACAGAGGGAAGCAAAGCCGCGAGGUGGAGCGAACCCCUAAAAGCAGUCUUAGUUCGGAUUGUAGGCUGCAACCCGCCUACAUGAAGUCGGAAUUGCUAGUAAUCGCAGAUCAGCAUGCUGCGGUGAAUACGUUCCCGGGCCUUGUACACACCGCCCGUCACGCCAUGGGAGUCGGUAACACCCGAAGCCUGUAGUCCAACCGCAAGGAGGACGCAGUCGAAGGUGGGAUUGAUGACUGGGGUGAAGUCGUAACAAGGUA